RNAcentral lists this ribosomal RNA (433 nucleotides) under uncultured bacterium. RNAcentral describes it as "partial 16S ribosomal RNA". It matches the Rfam family "Bacterial small subunit ribosomal RNA", at positions 29 to 507 of the family's 1533-position model. The record is from RNAcentral.
AACGAACGCUGGCGGCAUGCCUAACACAUGCAAGUCGAACGAGACCUUCGGGUCUAGUGGCGCACGGGUGCGUAACGCGUGGGAACCUGCCCUUAGGUUCGGAAUAACUCCCCGAAAGGGGUGCUAAUACCGGAUAAUGUCUUCGGACCAAAGAUUUAUCGCCUUUGGAUGGGCCCGCGUUGGAUUAGCUAGUUGGUAGGGUAAAAGCCUACCAAGGCGACGAUCCAUAGCUGGUCUGAGAGGAUGAUCAGCCACACUGGGACUGAGACACGGCCCAGACUCCUACGGGAGGCAGCAGUGGGGAAUAUUGGACAAUGGGCGAAAGCCUGAUCCAGCAAUGCCGCGUGAGUGGUGAAGGCCUUAGGGUUGUAAAGCUCUCUUACCCGGGAUGAUAAUGACAGUACCGGGAGAAUAAGCUCCGGCUAACUCCGUG